AGAGCUUGAUCCUGGCUCAGAACGAACGCUGGCGGCGUGCCUAACACAUGCAAGUCGAACGGGAUUAAGGGGCUUGCCUCUUAAUUUAGUGGCGCACGGGUGAGUAACGCGUGGAUAACCUGCCCUGGUAUCCGGGAUAACACCUCGAAAGGGGUGCUAAUACGGGAUAAGCCCACGGGGUCUUCGGACCUUGCGGGAAAAGGUGGCCUCUGAAUAUGCUGCCGUAUCAGGAUGGGUCCGCGUACCAUUAGCUAGUUGGUAGUGUAAUGGACCACCAAGGCUACGAUGGUUAGCUGGUCUGAGAGGAUGAUCAGCCACACUGGAACUGAGACACGGUCCAGACUCCUACGGGAGGCAGCAGUGGGGAAUUUUGCGCAAUGGGGGUAACCCUGACGCAGCAACGCCGCGUGAGUGAUGAAGGCCUUCGGGUCGUAAAGCUCUGUCAGAGGGAAAGAAGUGUAGCAUGGUUAAUACCCAUACUACUUGACGGUACCCUCAAAGGAAGCACCGGCUAACUCCGUGCCAGCAGCCGCGGUAAUAC
This 541-nucleotide ribosomal RNA is filed under the name uncultured delta proteobacterium. RNAcentral describes it as "bacterial SSU rRNA". It matches the Rfam family "Bacterial small subunit ribosomal RNA", at positions 8 to 526 of the family's 1533-position model. The record is from RNAcentral. Lineage: Bacteria; Deltaproteobacteria.